AAACUUUGCAAUGUGCGAAAGCACGACAAGGUUAAUCCGAGUGAUUCCUGCUAAAGGAAUCUUUUGUUUGUCAUAAAACCACUAAUGAAUAAGGGGUGGGCAAGUUCUGGUGUCAGCCGCCGCGGUAAAACCAGCACCUCAAGUGGUCAGGAUGAUUAUUGGGCCUAAAGCAUCCGUAGCCGGCUCUGUAAGUUUUCGGUUAAAUCCAUAUGCUCAACAUAUGGGCCGCCGGGAAUACUGCAUAGCUAGGGAGUGGGAGAGGUAGACGGUACUCCGUAGGAAGGGGUAAAAUCCUUUGAUCUAUGGAUGACCACCUGUGGCGAAGGCGGUCUACCAGAACACGUUCGACGGUGAGGGAUGAAAGCUGGGGGAGCAAACCGG
RNAcentral lists this ribosomal RNA (381 nucleotides) under uncultured archaeon. RNAcentral describes it as "bacterial SSU rRNA". It matches the Rfam family "Archaeal small subunit ribosomal RNA", at positions 345 to 727 of the family's 1478-position model. The record is from RNAcentral.